AUAUAUGGGUAACAUGCCUUCGAGAAGGGGAUAACGUUUGGAAACGAACGCUAACACCUUAUAUGCCUUUAAGUCUUAAGACUGCAAGGGAAAUAUUUAUAGCUCGAAGAUUGGCCUGUACAGUAUCAGUUAGUUGGUGAGGUAAUGGCUCGCCAAGACAAUGACGCUUAACUGGUUUGAGAGGAUGAUCAGUCUCACUGGAACUGAGACACGGUCCAGACUCCUACGGGAGGCAGCAGUGGGGAAUAUUGCACAAUGGACGAAAGUCUGAUGCAGCAACGCCGCGUGGAGGAUGACACAUUUCGUUGCGUAAACUCCUUUUAUAUAGGAAGAUAAUGACGGUACUAUAUGAAUAAGCACCGGCUUACUCCGUGCCAGCAGCCGCGGUAAUACGGAGGGUG
RNAcentral lists this ribosomal RNA (401 nucleotides) under uncultured Arcobacter sp. RNAcentral describes it as "bacterial SSU rRNA". It matches the Rfam family "Bacterial small subunit ribosomal RNA", at positions 113 to 534 of the family's 1533-position model. Lineage: Bacteria; Pseudomonadati; Campylobacterota; Epsilonproteobacteria; Campylobacterales; Arcobacteraceae. The record is from RNAcentral.